CGUGCAGGCGGCCCGGUAAGUGGAAGGUGAAAUGCCCUGGCUCAACCAGGGAACUGCCUUCCAGACUGCCGGGCUUGAGUACAGGAGAGGAUGGGGGAAUUCCCGGUGUAGCGGUGGAAUGCAUUGAUAUCGGGAGGAACACCAGUGGCGAAGGCGCCCAUCUGGCCUGAUACUGACGCUCAGGCGCGAAAGCUAGGGAGCAAACA
RNAcentral lists this ribosomal RNA (206 nucleotides) under uncultured bacterium. Its description in RNAcentral is "partial 16S ribosomal RNA". It matches the Rfam family "Bacterial small subunit ribosomal RNA", at positions 568 to 774 of the family's 1533-position model. The record is from RNAcentral.